RNAcentral lists this non-coding RNA (109 nucleotides) under Pseudo-nitzschia fraudulenta. The record is from RNAcentral. Lineage: Eukaryota; Bacillariophyta; Bacillariophyceae; Bacillariales; Bacillariaceae.
UAUUGUGAUAGCUUUUUUCUUUCUUUUUGAUUUUCUUUCAAUAAUAAGUUGCUUGAUAUGAAUACGAGAAGGUAAAUGUUUUGUGAUGUAUCCUACGUUCAAAUGAAAA